RNAcentral lists this long non-coding RNA (4111 nucleotides) under Gadus morhua (Atlantic cod). Its description in RNAcentral is "lncRNA (ENSGMOG00000031964.1)". The record is from RNAcentral. Lineage: Eukaryota; Metazoa; Chordata; Actinopteri; Gadiformes; Gadidae.
AGGAGCGCACCCUCACGUAUGGACUCCAUAUGUUUGGUGCGCGCAUAACGGACCCCACCGGCAACCUUUCAAAGGCUUUCUGCAGCACUAACAACCUCCCUGCCAACACUCGCUGUCUUCAAGCACCAUGCCGUCUCUGUAUCAUGGGGCCAUCUUCGUGGGGGUCUUCCUCAUAGUGACCGGGGGCUCCACCGCCUUCCUCACCUCGUCCCAGAGCCGUCUGCAGGCCUUCUCCCUCUGCUGCGUGGUGCUAGGGGCCGUCAUGCUCAUCCUGGGGCUCUUUUGGGCCAUGAACACCAAGUCCCCGGUCAACUACAGCCACGGAGAAUACAACGGAGAGUGUCCGCACUAUCCCUACAACGACUACCCCAACUUUGGGAGCCACGUCCUUUUUGCGCCAUCGGGGAGCCGCUUCCCGGAGUCCCAGUCGGUGUUUCUGCCAAGGCACACAACCCCAGAACGCCAUCGGAGUGGCGCCAACUGUGAGGAAUUUGACUACCCUCCCAUGGAUCCCGGAUGUUUCAGUCCCUCCACACAACCUCCCCCGUGGCUUGGACCCCCGCCCCCCUAUGAAGUGGCCAUCAAGGUUACCUGCAGCUCGACGCAACUGCGGCGGGCAUAUUCUGACACCCACCUGGCAUCGGAGCCCCUGUUCGGACGGUCAAGGGAGAUCAGCUUUGAGGUGUGACGCCGGCCAAUGUUCAGACCUCCUUCCCGUGGCUGCCAGUCCAAUAGGCGAAGGUUUUAGGCUGGUGUUCCGAAAUGCAGACGACCUGGAAUCCAACCUUCAUUAGUCAGUGUGAUUAGCGACAUGGUAUGACAGUAACAUCAAUUGAUGCCUGAGGCAGCAUGCUUUUUGCUAAUGUUGACUGAAUAUGUUCCAGCAUGCGCAACCUAUCUCAGAGAUUACUUUGCCCAGUUAAUAAAACGUCAGCGAUCUGAUAAAGUGAUGUGUCUAACCAGAUUUUGGCCUUAUGUAAAGUAUACUUUAUUAUACACGCUUAUUAUUAUUGGUAUGUAGCAACGAUUAUUGUAUGGUUUAGCCUAACUCUAACCCUAUCCCUAACCCUAUUUUGAAGCCUGAAGGGAUAACUUCCGGAUUUUUCAACCUGGACUCUAUUUUUUGCAACUUUAAUUUUUGGUCUAAGUGACUAAUGCAGACAUUACAUUUUAAAUUUGGUCCAUUAUUGAACGCUUGUGCAAGAGUGGCUGUUUUUGCAACUGACUGAGAUUAUAUUCUAUCAUUGUGGAAAGGAUCCUUCCUGAGAAAUACGCUUGAUCUGAUCUGUUUGUUAUUGUGUCUUGUCAAGUCUUGAUCAAGACGUUUCACUCUGUAAUCGUAUUGCAGGAACUGUCCCUAUUGUUUCACUGUCAUUACAAUCUCAACUUUCCUUCAUCUAUAUUUUUGAGAAAUCAAUAAAUUACACUUUCUGUAUUCCAACGCAAAAAACUCCUGCACUUGCCUGCACUCCUGUCUCCAUCUCCCUCAAGUUCUACUUUUCUCUUCCUGCUUGAACUCAACCCGAGCAAUAUUUCAGCUGUAUUUCUCUGUAGGGAUCCUUUCCGCAAUGUCAGACACUUAUUAUAACAACCAACAAGCACUUUAAGAGAAUGUACAGGGUCACAUAGGGUAGGGUUAUAUUGCUUCGUGCAUCAUGACUGCAGUGGCUUAAGAAGUCUUGCUCAACAAUGGACCAAUUUCAAAAAUAUUUGUCCAUGUUAGGAAUUAAAGGUCAAUGUUGAAAAAUCCAGAAGUUAUCAUUUAACUGGGUUAUUGGGAUUGCAACAGCCAUGUGGUGUCUGUAGUAUUAAUUUGGUUUUAAAAAAGGAUCACACAUUAUUUAAUAACCCUUAUAUCCCAUGUAGGUGGUUCCUUGUUAUUCACAUCAGAUUGUAAAAAUGGCUCCAUAACUAUAUCAAUAUGAUUAUUUACUUGCAGGCUUGCCAGUAGUUGGAGGAACUAAUACAGGCAUAAGGUUCACUGCACCUACUACUAGGGGUGGAACCAGUGUUGCCAGAUUGGGCUACUUUUGGUGGACGUUCAGGCAGUGUUGCCAGUUUGGGCGGUUUCCCCCGCUCUAUUGGGCUACUUUUAAAGUAUGCACCGGCUCGUUAUUCUCUUAAACACACACACACACACACACACACACACACACACACACACACACACACACACACACACACACACACACACACACACACACACACACACACACACACACAAGCAGUGCAGGGCAAUACAUUUGACCUUUCAGAUUCUUCAAUUAAAUUAAUUUUACAUUUCUGCAUUUCUAGCAAUGCUUUGCGCUCUUCAUUCAGCUGUCACUUUAUUUGUGUCCAACCAUUUACAUUUUCUUAAAUGGUGUGCAUGUUUACUCCAUUUAGACUUUUGAAAUUUUGUUCAAAUCCCUUUACUUAAUUUAAGCCAUUUAGCGUUUCUUUAUGUCUUAAUCUAUGUGGCUUUAUUAAAAAAUAUUUUCAACCUUACUUUGUACUACAGCACUCACCGCAUUUUCUGCAGGAAAUGCAUUUUCUAGUUAUUUUUAUUCUCUCUGUAUGAAAUGUUUCCGAUUCAGAUUUAGCCAGAUUUCCUGCCAAAUCUGGAAACACUGGGUGGAACGGCUCACAAAAUUCACGGUUCGAUUCAUACCAUGGUUUUGGGGUCACGGUUUUCGGUUAGCCUACAAAAACUGUUAAAUAAUCAUUCUCCCCAAACAAUGUAUGAGUGGCGCUGUGCCUUGUAAAGGUGCGGCCACACCAAACGCGUUACCCGCGUACCUCGUGUAUAAAAUCGUCAAUUUUUCCAUAGGGAACCAUUGGUUUAUGCCCGUAUGAGACGCGUACACGCGUUACAUGCGCUAAAGCAACAUUUUACGCGCGUAACGCGCGUAUGAGGCGCGUAUAUUUACGCGCGUACAUUUCAAGAGUUCAAAAAAUUUAACUUUUUAUACUCAUACGCAUGACGAUUAGCCUCGUUGCCCAAUCAGCGUUGAGCUUGACCCGACGUCACUGGCAGAGAGUAGUGAGCUUGGACAGAAGCAUACGGCCGACAUCUUUCUUUAUUCUGUGUGGAAAUAGUAACAUAGUUACGCCAUUAAAUGCUUUUAUGGAAACAUUUUUAGCGAGAAAUGUGCAUUUUACUUUCAUAAUGUUCGCUCGGUGAAUGUGAAGGAUGUUUGGUUUGAUAGUUAUGACGAAGAGGGAACGCUCCGUUCACUUGCAUGGACAGAGUCUCUGGUUACUAAGCAACCUCAACGUCUUGGCGGACUAUAUAUCUGCUGAUCAACACUACGAAUGCUGGAAACACACCAGACACACCAUGUGAAGUUAUUUAACCCGAUUAUUGUUAUUUAUAUCCGAGAUUAUUUAAUCUAACCCGAUCUAAACUCUAUCACCCAAACACGGCGGCGUUUGGGUUUCCUACCUCGGACUCCAGCGCAGCCACGGCCGACAACUUUCUUUAUUCUGGGUGGAAAUAGUAACAUAGUUACGCCAUUAAAUGCGUUUAUGGAAACAUUUUUAGCGAGACAUGUGCAUUUUACUUUCGUAAUGUUCGCUCGGUGAAUGUGAAGGAUGUUUGGUUUGAUAGUUAUGACGAAGAGGGAACGCUCCGUUCACUUGCAUGGACAUGGACUCAUCUAGGCGCGUUAGGAGCGUAGGCGCGUUAGGAGCGUAUGCCCAUUUUUGACACAAAAUGGUCAAGCAACAUUUUAGCUGCGUUACGCGCGUAAAAAUUACGCGAGAUACGCGUCUGGUGUGGCCGUACCUUAACGUUUUGUAAGGAGCUGUAGCGACGAAUAAACGUUAUUACUCAAAAGGACUAAUUGGUUAAAAACACAUGCUUUAUUGGAAAAACGCCAAAAAAAACAAAAAAACAGCAAUACUAUGUUGGUGCUGUGAGGAGGAAGUCAGUGGCUUUCGGAUCCACUCUUGCCCCGAGCCUGAAUGUAAAGUGGGUCGCACACCAGACGAGCCACACAGCACAGCGUUGGCCAGUGCCGAUUUUAUCUUACAGCUUGUUCUGUGUUGAAUAUAAUGAGUGGUAAUGAUAAUGAGGCGGCGCCGAUGUUCGAGCUCUCUUUGGAAACACGACCCACGUGAUUUUCAAUGA